Heteronotia binoei (common prickly gecko) is the source of this 331-nucleotide long non-coding RNA. RefSeq lists it as uncharacterized. Lineage: Eukaryota; Metazoa; Chordata; Lepidosauria; Squamata; Gekkonidae. The transcript is spliced from 2 exons. The record is from RefSeq and is a predicted model, not a curated record.
GGGUCCCUGGACUUCUGCCAUCUUUUAAAAAGAGUUGCGUGCUAAGCCUCAUUUGGCUCCAAUGUUCCAGACCUGCUGCCUUAAAGCUUUACUGUGAUCUUGCCAACACAAAUGCCACAAUUGCCAGAUAAAAUGUGCCGGCACCUCUUGAACUUUUCGAAAUGAAGGUGUGACUGGAUUCGUUCCAUUCCCGUCAAGGAAUCACGCACCAAAAUGUAGAACUCCUAAUCUCAGAGGGGAUUGUAUAAACGAUGUAUUUGCGAAUGAUAAUGAAUAAAAUGACAGCGACCUUUGGAGGUAGUUGUUAAAAGCUGUUUCUGCAUUUUCAAGA